CGCUGGCGGCGUGCUUAACACAUGCAAGUCGAACGAUGAAGCCCUUCGGGGUGGAUUAGUGGCGAACGGGUGAGUAACACGUGGGCAAUCUGCCCUUCACUCUGGGACAAGCCCUGGAAACGGGGUCUAAUACCGGAUACCACUCCUGCCCGCAUGGGCGGGGGUUGAAAGCUCCGGCGGUGAAGGAUGAGCCCGCGGCCUAUCAGCUUGUUGGUGGGGUAAUGGCCCACCAAGGCGACGACGGGUAGCCGGCCUGAGAGGGCGACCGGCCACACUGGGACUGAGACACGGCCCAGACUCCUACGGGAGGCAGCAGUGGGGAAUAUUGCACAAUGGGCGGAAGCCUGAUGCAGCGACGCCGCGUGAGGGAUGACGGCCUUCGGGUUGUAAACCUCUUUCAGCAGGGAAGAAGCGAAAGUGACGGUACCUGCAGAAGAAGCGCCGGCU
Molecule: ribosomal RNA, 447 nt
Filed under: uncultured bacterium
Lineage: Bacteria
Description: bacterial SSU rRNA
Rfam family: Bacterial small subunit ribosomal RNA
Source: RNAcentral